This 429-nucleotide ribosomal RNA is filed under the name uncultured bacterium. RNAcentral describes it as "bacterial SSU rRNA". It matches the Rfam family "Bacterial small subunit ribosomal RNA", at positions 29 to 506 of the family's 1533-position model. The record is from RNAcentral.
ACGAACGCUGGCGGCAGGCCUAACACAUGCAAGUCGAGCGCCCCGCAAGGGGAGCGGCGGACGGGUGAGUAACGCGUGGGAACGUGCCCCUUUCUACGGAAUAGCCUCGGGAAACUGGGAGUAAUACCGUAUAAGCCCUACGGGGGAAAGAUUUAUCGGGAAGGGAUCGGCCCGCGUUGGAUUAGGUAGUUGGUGGGGUAAUGGCCUACCAAGCCGACGAUCCAUAGCUGGUUUGAGAGGAUGAUCAGCCACACUGGGACUGAGACACGGCCCAGACUCCUACGGGAGGCAGCAGUGGGGAAUCUUAGACAAUGGGCGCAAGCCUGAUCUAGCCAUGCCGCGUGAGCGAUGAAGGCCUUAGGGUUGUAAAGCUCUUUCAGUGGGGAAGAUAAUGACUGUACCCACAGAAGAAGCCCCGGCUAACUCCGU